ACCCUCCCACAGACGCACGGUUCGCGGCCGCGGGGCGUGCCCGCGCGGAACGCGGGGAUGGCGAGGGCAAGCGCGUGUGGGCUGUUGUCAUUUUGUCGUGCGCGCCUUGUCCCUGUCGAGCGAGCGAACCGCCUUUUCGCGAGAUGAUGCUCGUGGCGGUUGCUUGAUUCCUCCCGGUGGCAGCAACACGAAGAGCUGUAUGACCGGGGUUGGGAUGUUUCAGAGGGUGUCAGUGUCAGCGGCGGCAGUGGCAGCGCCUGGCUUCUCCGCGCAGCGUCGAUCCGGACACGAUACAGAUCUUCAUGAAUUCUGUUUUGCUUCACUGAUUUGAUCAACUGAUAAACCUUGAUGUUGCCUGCCAAUUUUGACCAUGAGAUUUUCUUAGGACUGCUGUGUUGGAUGGUAUAGGAAAUAUGGACCUGACUAACGGGCAAUCGAGCACUAUAUAUUUACAAGCCACAGCUUCUGAGAGAAGCAGCAGCUCUGAGUCUCUAAGUGAGAAAGCCUCUAAUGAUCCCAAGAAAAGUUUUGAUGCAGUGGUAUUUGAUGUCCUGAAGGUAACACCAGAAGAGUUUGCAAGUCAGAUAACAUUAAUGGAUGCACCAGUUUUUAAAGCAAUUCAACCUGAGGAGCUAUCAAGUUGUGGGUGGAACAAAAAAGAAAAACACAGUUCUUCGCCAAAUGUUGUAGCUUUUACGAGAAGGUUUAAUCAUUUUCAAAAUAACAAAAAAGGAAAAGGGCCCGAAGCAAAAGAUUGGGCACCCUGCAUGGUCAGCUUCUGGGUUGUCCGAGAGGUUCUUACUGCACAAACUCUAAAAAUCAGAGCAGAAGUUUUGAGCCACUAUGUGAAAACUGCAAAGAAAUUAUAUGAGAUAAAUAACCUACAUGCGCUAAUGGCUGUCGUGUCCGGAUUGCAGAGUGCGCCCAUCUUCAGGCUUACAAAAACGUGGGCGCUUUUGAGCAGAAAAGAUAAAACAACUUUUGAAAAAUUAGAGUAUCUGGUGUCUAAAGAAGAUAAUUACAAGAGGCUCAGGGAUUACAUUAAUAGUUUGAAGAUGACUCCAUGUAUUCCAUAUCUAGGCAUUUAUUUGUCUGAUUUGACAUAUAUUGACUCUGCAUACCCAUCCACACACAGCAUCAUAGAGUGUGAACAAAGAUCGAACCUAAUGAACAAUAUUUUGAGGAUCAUUUCUGAUCUUCAGCAGUCUUGUGAUUAUGAUAUCCCCUUGUUGCCUCAUGUUCAGAAAUACCUGAAUUCAGUGCGAUACAUUGAAGAACUUCAGAAAUUUGUUGAGGAUGACAAUUAUAAAUUGUCAUUAAGAAUUGAGCCUGGCACCAGUACAUCACAGUCCACUGCAUCAAGGGAAGAUCUUGCUGGACCUGAUGUGGCGCCAUCCCCACAGAGCAGCCGGCGAAGUAUGGCAGCAGAGGCAGCCCUAAUGAAUAUACCACCGACUCCACCUUCUUCCAGGCAUCUGUUUACACAUGGACAUAGGAAGUCCCACAGCCUCGGAUACAACUUUAUACACAAGAUGAAUACAGCUGAGUUUAAAAGUGCUACAUUUCCCAAUGGAAGACCUCGGCAUCUGCUGGAUGACAGUGUAAUGGAAAACUACACUCCUUCAAGAGUCCAGGCAGAAAGUUCCACAAUUUCCAGUGGAAUAUCACUAGGUAGCAGUGAAGGUUCUGAACUCAGUGAAGAAGUGUCAUGGCCAGCAUUUGAAAGGAACCGUUUCUAUUAUUCCCUUUGUCCAGUGCCACGAGUUGGGAGGAAUGGCUCUCGAGGGCACAUGAAAACCCACAGUUCUGUGGAAUCUGAAGAGCUGGCAGUGAACUUCUUCCCGGGAUGUGUCAUAAUUCAAGGAGUUUUGAGAAGGAAAACGCUACUGAAAGAAGGAAAAAAGCCUACGGUUGCAUCAUGGACCAAGUAUUGGGUGGCACUAUGUGGAACAAAACUAUAUUACUAUUCAGCCAAAUCUUUAAAACCGACAGAAAGAAAACAUUUCAAAUCAAGUUUAAGUAAGAGUGUUUCUGUUGUGGGUUGGAUGGUAAUGAUGGCUGAUGAUCCAGAGCAUCCAGAUGUUUUCCAGCUUACAGACUCUGAAAAGGGGAAUUCUUACAAAUUCCAAGCUGGUAAUAGAGAGAAUGCAAUGCUAUGGUUUAAGCAUUUGAGUUCUGCCUGCCAAAGCAACAGACAACAGCUUCGUCUCCUGCCUUCUCGAUUCUUGCACUAUUUCCCAAGCAGAGCGGGAUAAUUCCUGUGCCAGGCUUUCCCUCGAUUUGAUCACGCUGACUGGCAACCCUCUGGCCUUCAUGUCUGUAGUCGCCUCUUCCACUGUCUGAUACAGUUGGAUCCCAUCUUGAUAAAACACUCGAAGUUUAGCAGGGUCCCUGCAAACUUGAUGUCUUUUGAAUGACCGAACAGUGGCGUAAUUCAAGACUUGUCUGCAGGCUUGAUGGAUGCUUGCAGUUCAUGAAAGGACCUCUUGGAAGAGUUCCACAUUUGUUCUUUCUGUGCCAGGAUUGAAUCCAGAGAUGUGCUUAGUAUUUUUAUAUUGGAGCACAAACUUCACAGCACCAACCACCAAGACUUAGUGACAAUAUUGUGGUUGUCUUGGAGCAGCUAAGAAGCAUUUGAUAAGAGAUCUGAAUCUCUGAGGACUGUGCAUCCCAAUUGCACUGACUGCCCUGUGGAACCACUGCCUUAAGUAAAAGAUUUGUUUCACCAAAUAGAGUAUAUGUUAUAACCAGUAAUGCUGGACUUUUUGAUACAUAAAAUCCAGCUAGAUUACAGUUACUGUAGUUAACUGUUUUGGGAGUACUUAAGAUUUUGUUUUGCAUUUCCUAUCCUUUCAUCAUUAAUUUUGCUUACUUGCUCUAGUCUAGUUAACCCAUGUUGGGUACGGAAAUGGAAUGAGCAAUCCAUGUAGUCAACAGUAUUACCAUGUAGAAUUGCACAUCCAUAGGUUUUUAAUACCUAAAAUACUUUAUUUUGUUGGAAAAGUGUUUUAACUGAACUAUUUUGUACCCAUGUAAUAUUCUUUUUUUUUAAUUUUUACAAUGUGAACAGUUUUCCUGUGGAUUUUAUUAUCUGCUGCAAUCUUGAAUGAAAAAACCUACCUGUGGUAACUUUGUACUAUGAACAUUCAGAUUUGCCAUUUGACUAUUGUAUAUUUUUCUCAGUCUCUCCAGUAGUGUGUACAGCUUGCUUUGAGCUCUUGCAUUCUGUUAACACAUAGUCUGUAUUCUAAUUAGUAAUCCUGAAGUACUACUGAUCCUGAAGAUAUGUUUCUAAUGCUUUUUGUGUAACUGGUGUCAUUUUCAUCACUUUGGAUGUAGUGUGUAUGUGUGUGUUUGCACAAGCAAGUUUAAAAACUCUUUAAGUACAAUUACAGAAAGUUUUCCUACACAAUUAAUGCUGUUUCCACUAAUCAAUAUAAUCAGGAAGGAGAAUAGUUGGAAUCAUUUCCAAGGAGGCAUCCUUAAGUUAUGAAAAAGCAAAAUCUGAACUGUAGCUGCAUCUGAGGCCUUCCAAGUACAUGUAAGCACACAAGGGUUCCUACAGUAAGCUAAGUAGUCAUUACAUUUCUUUUUAGCUUAUCUUCUUGAUGUAUUUUUACUUAUUUGUUCAAACCAAAGUGCACAUCAUUACUAAUAUGUUUUACAAUGUUACAGAAAUUGUAACAACUGGUUGCCUAACCUAAUGUUAUAAACGUAGUUUCCACCAGAAGUUGGUUGUUACGCAAAUGUUUUUAAGUUGGAUUUGUUCCAUUAUAAUGCAGGCUAGAAGUACUCAUUAAUGCUGUAAUUAUAGAUGUGGGAACCAGAUGUUUUACCGGUUUUCUUUCCAGUAUUUCCAUCCAUGUCUUGUUCACAAUCCAAGAGCAAUACUUCACAAAACUGAUUAGAGGACACAAUUUUGGGGAAUGGUUAAGGAUGCAUUGGAUAGAGGUUUUCAAGUUUUCUAACAUAGUUUUGUUAAAGCAAUGUAAAAGCAGUUAUGAAAUUACAGUGAGUUUCACUUCCCAUAUUCAUUUGAGUUCUUAAUCUUAGUCCAGUUACCUAAGGAUCGGAAUGCACAAAAACUGGACCUUGGACAUGAAUGAUAAAAAUUCUCCCUUGAAAGAGAUGACAUAGUUUAUCUGAGAGAUAUUGAAGCAUAAUUAUCCUGUUACUUAUUUUCCUCAUUUGGAUAUCUUAGCAAAUGAUAUACAGUGAGGACAAUAUCUCAACUAAGUAAUAGGAAAAAUACUAGGUUUAGUAUUGAUUUUAUUAAUUUCAAUAUUUUAUAAAUUCAUUCAAAAUUUAGCUAACGUAGUUAAUACAAGUCCUUAAUUUAAAUCUUGGAAAUUUGUUGAGGAUACUAAUGAUGCUCAUUCUGCUGUAGAUACUAAAAAUCUUAGAACAAAUAUUUCCAUAAUUCUAUGCAGUUGGCUUGCCAGGCCACUAAUUUUUAGAACUCAUGUACAUUAAUGCGGCACAAGGUCAAGCAAAAGGUGGUGAUGACUGCACCCAGAGACCUUGUAAGUCAUAGACUGCUGUAAAUUUACUCUGCUGCAACAGGGGUUUGUUUUGUUUUUGUUUUCUGCCCUGCCUUAAUUGCUAUUUGAUUUUGGCAUCUCAAGACUAAGAACUAAAUCUAAAUCCUUUUAAAAUAUUGAAGGAUUGACUAUGUGACAAGGGUGUUGUCAACAUUUGUGGAACAGAGUUAUACAAAGAGGUUGGACAGCCCAGAACCUUAUUUUAUGGAGCUUUGAACACUGAGAAGUGAUCUUAUAGAGAUGUAUGAAAAUCAUGAGGGGCAUAAAUAGAGUAAAUGCACUCAGUCUUUUUCCCAAGAUUUAGAAAUCUAGCAUUAGAAGAUAGACUAUUGGUUUAAGGCAAGAGGGAAAAGAUUUAAUAGGAACUUGGUGGACUGCAUUUUUUAUUACACGAAAGGUGCUAUCUUUGUUGAAUGAGCUGCCAUGGAAGCAAUUAAGGCAGGUGGAAUAACAGCUUUUUAAGGACAGUUAAAAGAUUGGAAAUGUUGAGAGCUUUAUGGAGUAUUAUUAGUUGAGCUGAAUGGCCUAUUUCCACACUGUAUAGCUCUAUGACUCUUAAGUGAAGGUUAGAGUUUUGAUAGAUUAAAGAGAUUUCAUUCAGUUCACUGAAGGAGAAUAUUAAGUACAGACCUAAGACAAGAGGAGGCAAGAUGGAUUAAUUUCAGACAUCUCCAGCAUUAAAUGUUGAUAUCAUGAAACAAUAGCAAAAGAUUAAAAAGAAAAGUAUAUCUGGUAUAAGUUAUAGGAUAAGUUGAGUUACUCACCAAAGCUUCAGUGUUUUCAGAUGUGUAGUCAUGUGCUAGGUAGAAAUUCAUUUGUUUGCUGUAUAUGUUAAUCAAGUAAUGUGGCAAUGUUUAUUCAUUGAACUCCAUCUUUGAAGUUCUUUUCCAUUUUAUUAAUUGGAACAGGUUUUUCCCCAGUUUUGGAAGUGCUCUUUCAGGGAAAGAUCCAUGGCUUCAAUAUGUGUCAUAGUAGUUCUGUCAUGUUAUAAACUUAGCUUCUCAAUUAAAUGCUCAAAAAAGUUGUUUCAACAAUUAUUUCAAUGGAAAUGCCCAAAUAAAUAAUCUGAUAUCAUUCCAUAUAUAUUUUCAGUUGAAAAUUCUGUUGCAAAAUUACCCACAUUUACUAGUUACGCAUCAGGGUAGUGGGCACCAAGAGGAAAUAUUUGUACAAGCUUGGAUUAUACACAAAAAUAUAUAAUUAUAGUUGUUGGAGAUGAACCACCUCAACCAUCAGUGCAGGAGUACUCUAGGUAUAAACAUCUUCAGUUGAAAUAUCAACCAUAAGCCACAGCAUAGUGGUUACGAUGGUGCAAUUACAGCGCAGGGUGUCAUAGUUCAAUUCCAACACCAUCUGUGAGGAUUUUGUAUGUCCUCUGCAUUAACGCAUGGGUUUCCUCCAGGUGCUCUUGUUUCCUCCCACAUUCCAAAGGCAUACCAGUUAGUAGGUUAAUUGGUCAUUGUAAAUUAUUUUGUGAAUAGGCUGGGAUUAAAUAGAAGUGAACAGCAUUUUUGUUUGCUCAUCAUGCCCCUAAAUUUGAACGAGAAUUGAUUUUCUCCGUCAUAAGCCUAUAGAUGCUAAGCUUCAGUGUAUCACCUCUGCUGUUGUAUGAACCUGGACCUUGGGUGGGUGGUGCAGCUUGUUGGGCCAGAAGGGCUUAGUCCACGCUGUAUAUCUAAAUUAAUAAAUAAGAUCAGACUUAUGUUUUGGAACAAUCAGGAUUUGACAGCAAGAUCUGGUUCAAUAAUUUUUAAACAGCAAGAAACUAAUAAAUACUAAUUUCAUGAAGGUUAUGUGUGAGCAUUACAUGUCAUGAGAUUGAUUCCUGGAAUGAUCAGAUUGCUAAAUGAGUAAUAUUCUCACUGAGUUCAGAAAAAUCAGAUAUGAUUUUAUUGCAACAGAUCAUCUGAUUCACACAAUCAUUUUUUCAGCCAUAGGUAUGGUCGCAACCCCUAACACAUUUUAUUUGUUUUUCAGAGUGAUAUUGCUGAGAAGCUCAGCAGUUCAUCUCUGGCAAAGCCGAGAUGAUUUUGGCUUCACUGGAUGUUAGGUGACAGGUCUUUGUGCAUACUGAUGGAAUUAGCCUUAAAAGGUACAUUCU
Hypanus sabinus (Atlantic stingray) is the source of this 6642-nucleotide RNA transcript. It is a transcript of the gene named Ral GEF with PH domain and SH3 binding motif 2, with no coding region annotated. The transcript is spliced from 23 exons. NCBI's taxonomy places the organism in Eukaryota, Metazoa, Chordata, Chondrichthyes, Myliobatiformes, Dasyatidae. The record is from RefSeq and is a predicted model, not a curated record.